UACGGAGGGUGCAAGCGUUAUCCGGAUUCACUGGGUUUAAAGGGUGCGUAGGUGGGCAGGUAAGUCAGUGGUGAAAUCUCCGGGCUUAACUCGGAAACUGCCAUUGAUACUAUCUUUCUUGAAUACCGUGGAGGCCAGCGGAAUAUGUCAUGUAGCGGUGAAAUGCUUAGAUAUGACAUAGAACACCAAUUGCGAAGGCAGCUUACUACACAAUGAUUGACGCUGAGGCACGAAAGCGUGGGGAUCAAACAGG
RNAcentral lists this ribosomal RNA (253 nucleotides) under uncultured bacterium. RNAcentral's name for it is "partial 16S ribosomal RNA". It matches the Rfam family "Bacterial small subunit ribosomal RNA", at positions 524 to 776 of the family's 1533-position model. The record is from RNAcentral.